CCCUUCUCCACAUGAAUGAACUGAUCCAUUAAGUAUGAUAUCAGAUAACAUCGGGAUGUGCCAAUUGCUGCUGUAUGUGAGUCAGCAUCCUGAUGAUAACUUUCUCAGUAAUAUAGGAUUUCAUAUAUUUAUUGUGUGUCAUUUUCUAAAGCAAUGUCUGUGAUUAUAUACAUGACUUCAACAACGACAAACAGAGACGUAAGUUUAUUUAUUUAUUGCAAUAUGAUUUUGAUUUGAAUGCAUACUCAAUGAUAUUAUUUCGUUAAAAAGCUGAGUUUUCAGUUUUUCCACAGCACUUCAUCUAAAAUGGUUUCCAUGGUUAUCUGUUUUUCACACUCCUUAUUAAAUUAUUGCAGGCUAUCUAUUUAAUCGAUUUGCAUAGGUCAAUACAGUGUUAUUUAUCGUUUGUGUUUUAUAUCUGGUGAAAAGAUGUAAGGCAAAUACGUAUUAUACAUAUUUAAUCCGAACUAGACCGAACUCUAUCAAACUAAAAAAAAGGGGUGAUUAACUUUUAUUUUGUUCAUAUUUGUUAUGAAAUUUUUAGAUGGCAACCUAGUGUUAAUGUAUUCUUGCUUUAAAAAAUUGGUCAUUGCAUGUGUUUUAAAUGCAAAUGUAUACAGUAUAUGCCCUAAUUAUCUCAUCACCCACCCCCCGCUUUUUAAUCAUCUUUUUGUUUCUGAUGUGUCAUAUAAGACGUACAGAAGAUUUCGCUAAUUAGUCUGUUUAUUAACUAGGAAAUGAAAAAUAUUCACAUGUGAAUGCAUUCAUGAUGAAUCUGUAUGUCAUCUCACGCUGAUAUCUAAGGGGUACAUGGAAGGGGAAUCUUAUAAUUCGCUUAAGCUCAUUUAUAAUUCGUCUGAUGUAUAAUUGUAUAAUCGUUCGGUAAAGUAAAACUAUCAAUUUUGUACUAACAGUAAACAGCAUUCAAUUUCUUACUAUCCUUAUGAUGUAUAGCUUGAAGGAUAUGAUUAUUUUUUUACGAAAAAUUGAUACAUAAUAUCGUUGAUGUUCAGAACAUAUGUUUGACCUUGAACGAUGUUGUAUACAAAACUUUAAGAUAAGUGUGCUUAAAAUCUUGUAGUUUAAAACAUAUAAAACUAAAUUUAGGACACUUUGAUGUUAAAAUUUGGCCAAACAUAUGUCUUACGCACAUAAUGUGUGUAUUUUGUAACGUUGUAAGACUUAGAUUUAUAUCACGUCAUCGAGAUAAUUACGGAAGAAAAAGUCGAAAUACUUUGAAGUGGUUAGAUUUUUUCAGCCUUUCAUAUUUUUUUUUAAUUCCGGCGUGUUCUUAAGUACAUUUUCCGCUCUGUAAGAAUGUUGGCACAUGCACAUCUUUCCGGUUGCAGGCUGACAAAACGCUUGACGAAAGAAUUGAUAAAUUAUAGAACAAAAAGGAUCUACACAAAAUAAUCCGUUUUUCUCUUUUCCAUUUUUAUUGGUUCAACUGGACCAACGAGUCAGUAUAAGCUUUUGUCUUCACUUGGCGUCAGUCAUCUGUUUACUUUAACAAACAUAUCAAGUUCUCCUCUGACACUACGUACUUGGCCAAAUUUAACCAAACUUGAACACAAUCAUCAUUGGAGUAUCUCGUUUAAAAAUGUGUGCGAUGACCCUGUCUGCCAACAACAUGACUUAUUGACCAACAUGACCGACAUGGUUUAAAAUGAAGAUAUAGGACUGGAGUACAAUGAAAGUUUAGUCUAUUAUCUUGAAAUAACUAUAGAUAGAGAAAAUCUAAUAAGGCACACAUGAUCAGAAUGGUGAGAUCUACCUACUAUCAUUAUUCAUAAAACCUGUCAGAGGACUUCUUUAUAAGUAGUGUUGCUUAAACGAUUGCAGUUUUUCCUAUUAUCCUGGAAACUACAAUAGAUAGACAAAAAUUGCAAAAAAUAUCAGCAAGAUAAGAUCUUAAAAAAAGUCAGCAUAGAUUAAAUUGUAACGGUUGUCAUCGUAUAUAUAUACAUAAGUCUUCAAUGAAGAUGUUUCUGUAUUUUAGGCUAAACGUUUUUGCAAAAAUCCAGGUGUUGUUAACAAUGUUAACGGACCCCCGAUUGCCCCCGCCCCCUCAUUUAAACAAUAUAGAAAAACGAUUAACAUGAAACAUUAUCAGCAAUACAAGUUCAACAAAAAGAGGAUCUAAGUCAUGAAUCAUAUUUUGGUCCACAAUGCUGCAGAGAGUCUAAUGUUGAGGAUGCACAUAUACCUAGGUGAGCGAAACGUGCUUUACCAUGGAUUGCUAUUAGUUUUAUAGUGAUAAUACAAUGAAUACAUUCGAUCAGUAUGAUUUCUCGUUUUAGAUAUACCACAAGCAAAGUAGAAUAAAACUUGUUCUUGAGGGAAAAGGAAUAAAAUACGAAGAAGUAGAUCUAUGUAAGGACAAGGAAAAACGAGAUUACAUGAGAGAAAAGGCGGGAAUUCCAGACUUACUCCCACCACAAAUCUUUAACGGAGACACAUACUGUGGGGUAAUAUAUUACUUAGAUCAAUACAAAUACAUCUCUAGUUACUACUGAGGUCAAACGUCCGAAUGGGGAAUCACCGAAACAUGACCGGAGUACCCCCUCCCCCCACACACACACUUAUGAAAAUUCCUGGAUCCGCUACUGAAUAUGACGGUGUUCUAGUCUUUGUGUAAAUUUAAAAAAAAAAAGAUUAUAUAAAAAAGAAGAUGUGGUAUGAAUGCCAAUGAGACAGCUAUCCACAAAAGACCAAAAUGACACAGACAUUAACAACUAUAGGUCACCGUACGGCCUUCAACGAUGAUCAAACCCCAUACCGCAUAGUCAGCUAUAAAAGGCCCCGAUAAGACAAUAUAAACCAAUUCAAACGAGAAAACUAACGGCCUUAUUUAUGUUAAUAAAAUGAACGAAAAACAAAUAUGUAACAUAAACAAACGGAAAACCACUGAAUUACAGGCUCCUGACUUGGGACAGGCACAUGCAUAAAUAAUGUGUCGGGGUUAAACAUGUUAGCGGGAUCCAAACCCUGCCUCUAACCUGGGACAGUGGUAUAACAGUACAACAUACGAACGAACUAUAAAAAUCAGUUGAAAAAGCUGAACUCAUCAGAUGUACAAAAAUACAAGUGGACGUGGCCCGGUACUUAUACAUAAUAUAAUGAAACUGGAUAUUCUGUUUCAGAACAGGAUAAAAGUUUGCAAAGAUGUGAUUAUCAGAUGUUAUUCUGUUACUGUAGAUCUAAAUCUGUUCAGUAUCAUCUAUGGCGAUUUGAUUAAAAAAAACCACCAAUAUUUUAACUCAGUUGACAGCCUAUCGGUAUCGUGACACGCCUGGUAUACCAGCUAUCUAGCAUUCAAAAGAAAUGCUGAUGUAUCAUGCUCAUAUUAUAGAUCUGAUAAUAUAUCAUAUAUAUAUUUAUCCUUUAUGUCAUUCAUGUUUCCUACUCUUUAUAAGUAUGAACAUGUUCAAGAUUAUUGAUACCAUUGAUAUAAAAAAAUAAAUAAUGCAUAUUCUACACAGUCUAGUAUGAGUUUGACCUUUGAAAAAUAAUAAUGUUUUUAAAUGUCAACAAUGUUAGAGAAAGUACUUUACUGUAUAAGACUAGUACAAGCACAUUUGAAAUAUACAAGUAAUUCAUCGGACUGGAUACAAAGACAUGGGCAGUGGUCUUAUAUAAAUCAAUUCAAGAUCUAAAACUGAAUUACAUAACCAUAUUUACAUGCUGAUAGGUAGACAGAUGUGUAUUGAAGAUAUAUUGAGUACAAUAUCCUAAAUAUAGAUCAUUAUAAAUGAUAUUUAGAGAUGUCUAUGUAAAAACAAAAAUGCGUGCGUGAAAUUCUUUACUAUGACGGAGAAUGACAAAAAUAUGAUUUACGUUUACUUUUAAUAUAACAUCCAGUAAAAAGCGAUGAACAAGAUUGUAAUUCAACACUGUCUGCAAGGUCCAGUCUUUGUUUCACUGUUAACGGAGAUCAGUGUACUAACAUUAGCAUCACAACAGUGCCACAUGUGAAGCAGGAUCUGCUUUCCCUUCCGGAGCUGAAGAUCACCCGAAGUUUUAAUGGGGUUCUUGUGGCUCAGUCUUUCUAUAUGUUGUGUUUUGUGUACUAUUGUUUAUCACGGGUUUUUUUUCUGGCAUUGUCAUUUUAUUGUCAACUUGUAGUGUACAAAUAUCAGACAUAUCUUGUGAAAUUCAGUAUACAUGUAUUAAAAGGGUUUUGUCCGAUAUCAAUCAGUUUGUCUAUAUGUGGUUACAUAGAAUUUCGUAGACUUCAAACAUCUCCAGGGUCGGAUUCUGUCAUUUUUAGAGGAGAGGUUUUGAACCCAAAACUAAAGGGGGAUCAAACCAUAUGUCCCAAUUCAAAAAUUUUGCUUGUCAAAAAAAGGGAGUUCUUAUCCCGAACCCCCUUUUGAUCCGCCACUGCAUUUUUGACUAAUCAAAUGUUUACUUUUAGUCCUUCUUAUGAUACCUCAAAUAAUUCAACUUGCAUCCUCUAUAUAGUUUAUCGUCAGUGACGUGGUCGAAGUGUGUGGAAUAUAACGACUUGAUCAUUCUCGGGUUGUAGUUGUGACUAACAUUCAUUGAUGCUUAAUUUCUUAUCUCUAAGAUAUCGCACUAACAAAGAAAUGCAAUUAUUAUAAUGAGAAAUGAUAAUCAAAUCGUCAUUCUGAUUUGACCGUUCUUAUACAUGACGUCAAAUCAAACUCAAAGUAACAACCUUUAUCUUUUUUGACAUUUUCUUCUGAAUUUCAAUUUCGAUUUCUUUGAUUAAACAUAAAUACAUUACAGAAAUGCCUGAAGAUAUUACCCCUUACAUUUCCUCAAAACAUACACUACGUUACAGGGCACAAUGUGCAUGUAUAUGCAUGUGCAUUGAAUCAUAUAUUUACAUGACUCAGCUGUUGAAAAAGUAAUUGCCUUUUGGUUAUUUUGAUAUCAAGCGACUAUGCAAUUAUAUGCUUUAGUGUCGUUUUCGAUGUAUACGGCCUUCACACUUUUAUUUCUCAGUUAUUUUGUAAUGUGAGAAUAGGAUAUCGUUUAUUAAUAAAAGUGCAUAAUUAUCAUCUGAAACUCAAGUUUACACUGAACCAAAACAAUCACUCAGACCACACUUAAAAAUAUGCUCAAACCUUACUCAAAGGUACGAGUAGAAAUAGUAGGCAAAAAGAAAUUUAAGUGUCAAAUGUUAUAAGUCUUCAUGCCUAUCUGAUUAAAAAAAAUCAUAUCAGGACAAUACAAGUUUUUGAGUAGGCAGCUAUUUUAUGGGUAUAUAGGUAGGGUUAAGGCAAGCAAAACAUAAUCUUUUUCAUCGCCUUACCAAUUUUCAUUUUUUCAUGAGGAAGAUGCCAUUUACCACGUUUCCUUUUCUCAUGUCACAGUUGACUGAUUUUGUGUUUUCUGCUAAUAAAACUAGUGAAAAGUUUGUCUGAACCUUUUUGGACUUUUCUUGUGUUUAGUAACCGUGUUAUUUCAACCACAAGCUCCUUUUUUAUACUAAUUGCCUUUACAAUUUAGCAGACGAAUCAGUCGCACAAUUGUAUAAUAGAGACAUUCACAAGUAUUUAUUUCUGUUUUAUGAAGCGAUAAUCGUUCAUUUAAAGUUUACUGUAUGGCUGUAAACAAACAUACAUUAACUAGAUCUAAUUCUAAAGUAUAUAUUCUGUAUAAUCAGUUGAAUUACUCAUGCAUCAGUCACAAGUCACGAUCGUUCAGCGGUUAUCUAGUUCAAAAGACAAUGAAAGUGUGUAUGUGCCAACAUGUCAUAAAUAAAGAGCCCAAAGGACUUGAAUGACUUGAGAAUCACUUGAAGUCUGUAUAGUCUUUACUUACAUAUAUAUACAACUCGUCUAAACAUCAACCCAACAAUGUUAGAUCUGUAAAUUUGCUUUUGCAAUUUUUUUUGUUCUUCCCUCGCCGGGAUUCGAACCCAUGCUACUGAGAUAUCGUGACACCAAAUCGCCUGCACUGUAGCCGUCCCGCUAGACAACACGACCACCCGGGCUUCACAAAAAUAAAGCUUUUGGUGGCCGUGUCCUCGUCAGUUUUAAUCUAGCGUCGUACUACAGUACAUGAUAUAUAAGGCAUGGAGAUGUUAUUGUUAGAGAUCAGCUCAAUUAUCUACAGUAAAGGAUCCUACAAAUUAAUGCAAGAUACAGUCACAGAAAAUAAUUACAUUUAUUUAUAAGUACGUCUGAGUCAGUGACAAUUCUACAACAGAUAUAUCCAUCGGAUCACCAGCAAUGAUGGUGAUACAUGGCUGUGUACAUUAGAGAUAAUUUCCCAGAGUUAAAUGCCUUGUCUUUAUCUCAGUACUGUUUGUUUGUAUUUGUUAUUGCUGUCUUGUAGAGGUUUACAGAACAUUCCAUACUAUUCAAAUUAAACUAUAAAUAGACAAACCUUGUGAUCUUUAGCAAAUAGAGCCUGGGGUAGAAGACACCAAAGCGAUAUUCAAAUUCACAGUCGAAAACAUGCAUGAUUGACAACACCAUGGCACAAACAAAAACAUCAAAAGACAAACAACAGUACACAAAACUAAGCAUAAAAAGCAUGAACAACAAGACUCCCACUAAAAAACGGGUUAUCUUAGUGGCUUCAGAAGAGUAAGUAGACCCUGCUACACAUGUGGCACCUAUCGUUUUGUUCGUGUUAAAACAAAGUUGGUAAUAAGUAUCAUUUGGUGAGGUCACAUAAUAGAAAUAAGGAUGGUGCAAACAACUAUUAUUACAUCACAGGGGUAUAUUGCAGUGGCGGAUCCAGAAAUUUUCAUAAGUGGGGGCCCACUGACUGACCUAAGAGGGAGCCCGCUCCAGUCACGCUUCAGUGAUUCCUUAUAUAAGCAACCAAAUUUUUCCCCAAAAAGGGGGGCCCGGGCCCCCUGCCCCCUCCCCCUAAAUCCGCCUCUGUAUUGUAUACAUCAUAAUUAAGCUAGUGUAUUCAAGUUUUGUAAUGCUAUCCAAAUAACUGUAGACUUGUUUCUUCAAUAUUUUAUUACUGUUUUAGGAUUUCCAAUCCUUUGAUGAUGCACUGGAAGCAGGGACGUUACAAGAAUUUUUACUCCUGAAAUGAGUGGAUGGAUGAUUUUUUAAAUGGUAAGCUUUUCUAAAGUAACAUACGCAGAAGGCUGAAGUCAUUGGUAAGUCUUUAAUUAGAACAGUAUCAGUAGCAUCGUCUUAAUGGAAUUACUAUUUACAUUAUAUGCGAUAGGUCGUUCAAGACAAUUUCUGUAGUUUAGUAAGAAAACAACGAUGUUAACAAUAGAUCACAAUAGGAAAAAAUAUAAUUGAAAAUCGCUUCUUUUUGAGUAUAUAUAACUCCCUAUAAAGACUGUCUAUGAAUGAAUCAAAAGACAGUGAUUUUAAAAGUAACACGUGCUAGCUACUAAAAUUCGUUGUUUUUUUUUCAACUUGCCGUUGAUGCUUAUCCGAAUUGAUAGUCAACUUGACAGAUCUUGAUAAUUAUCUUUUUAAACAUCUAAUUGUUUUAAAUAUGUGUAUGUCUCAACUAUUAGACGUCUUACUCGUUGUUAUAUAUUUUCUAAAUUAAAAAAGCACUAAAAUUUAUUAUUUUAAUAAAUUGAAGAAACAUUAGCAACAAUCAAAGAUGACUUUGCAAUGUCAAAAAUUAUAAGGCUAUUAAAAUUAUUCGGCAUAAAUUUAAAAAUAAAAGUCUUCGAUUUGUAUGGUAUUUUCAUAAAUGUGAUCGUACAGUGUCUGAGUUCAUCGUUGAUAACUAAUGGAAAAAAGCACCAAUUAUACCAAUAAAGGGUGCACUUUUAAUAUAAAAGUUACUGUAGCAUUUUAUUAUUCAAAUAUAACUAAUAUGUUGGUACAUAAAUAUGCACAAUUUGUACAAGAUAUUGUUAAAUCCAGAAGAUAACUUUCUAUUUUCAGUGAAUGAUGCCUGUUAUGUGCUAGAAGACGUAUGCUGAAGAAUGCAAGAACUACAAAGAAAUGUUUCUACUUUUAUAUAUAAAGUGCAAUUCUAUAAGAAAAAAAUGCAAUUCCGUGUCGUAUUUGUUUUUAAAGAUGUCAUUUGCUUGUAGAACUGAAUAUGGAUUUAACAAUUUUGUAUCGUGAAAAUCUUAUAUCGAAAUAAAAUUACAGUUAUUUUUUACUAC
RNAcentral lists this long non-coding RNA (8080 nucleotides) under Mytilus galloprovincialis (Mediterranean mussel). The record is from RNAcentral. Lineage: Eukaryota; Metazoa; Mollusca; Bivalvia; Mytilida; Mytilidae.